Molecule: ribosomal RNA, 429 nt
Filed under: Chloroflexota bacterium
Lineage: Bacteria; Bacillati; Chloroflexota
Description: Chloroflexi bacterium partial 16S ribosomal RNA
Rfam family: Bacterial small subunit ribosomal RNA
Source: RNAcentral
UGGGGAAUAUUGCACAAUGGGCGCAAGACUGAUGCAGCCAUGCCGCGAGUAUGAAGAAGGCCAUGGGGUUGUAAAGUACUUUCAGUCGGGAGGAAGGUGUCAAGGUUAAUAACCUUGGCAAUUGACGUUACCGACAGAAGAAGCACCGGCUAACUCCGUGCCAGCAGCCGCGGUAAUACGGAGGGUGCAAGCGUUAAUCGGAAUUACUGGGCGUAAAGCGCACGCAGGCGGUUGAUUGAGUCAGAUGUGAAAUCCCCGGGCUUAACCCGGGAAUUGCAUCUGAUACUGGUCAGCUAGAGUCUUGUAGAGGGGGGUAGAAUUCCAUGUGUAGCGAUGAAAUGCGUAGAGAUGUGGAGGAAUACCGGUGGCGAAGGCGGCCCCCUGGACAAAGACUGACGCUCAGGUGCGAAAGCGUGGGGAGCAAACAGG